This 488-nucleotide ribosomal RNA is filed under the name uncultured bacterium. RNAcentral describes it as "partial 16S ribosomal RNA". It matches the Rfam family "Bacterial small subunit ribosomal RNA", at positions 28 to 507 of the family's 1533-position model. The record is from RNAcentral.
GACGAACGCUGGCGGCGUGCUUAACACAUGCAAGUCGAACGGCAAGGCCCUGCUUUUGUGGGGUGCUCGAGUGGCGAACGGGUGAGUAACACGUGAGUAACCUGCCCUUGACUUUGGGAUAACUUCAGGAAACUGGGGCUAAUACCGGAUAGGAGCUCCUGCUGCAUGGUGGGGGUUGGAAAGUUUCGGCGGUUGGGGAUGGACUCGCGGCUUAUCAGAUAGUUGGUGGGGUAGUGGCCUACCCAGGCGUGGAUCGGUAGCUGGCCUGAGAGGGUGACCGGCCACACUGGAACAGAGACAGGGUCCAGAGUCCUACGGGAGGCAGCAGUGGGGAAUAUUGGACAAUGGGCGGAAGCCUGAUCCAGCCAUACCGCGUGGGUGAAGAAGGCCUUCGGGUUGUAAAGCCGUUUUGUUGGGAAAGAAAAGCAGCAGGUUAAUACCCCGCUGUUCUGACGGUACCCAAAGAAUAAGCACCGGCUAACUUCGUG